This 460-nucleotide ribosomal RNA is filed under the name uncultured bacterium. Its description in RNAcentral is "partial 16S ribosomal RNA". It matches the Rfam family "Bacterial small subunit ribosomal RNA", at positions 338 to 795 of the family's 1533-position model. The record is from RNAcentral.
CCUACGUGUGGCAGCAGUGAGGAAUAUUGGUCAAUGGGCGGAAGCCUGAACCAGCCAAGUAGCGUGCAGGAUGACGGCCCUACGGGUUGUAAACUGCUUUUAUACGGGAAUAACGCGCCUUACGUGUAGGGCUUUGCAUGUACCGUAUGAAUAAGGACCGGCUAAUUCCGUGCCAGCAGCCGCGGUAAUACGGAAGGGCCGGGCGUUAUCCGGAUUUAGUGGGUUUAAAGGGAGCGUAGGCCGCAUGUCAAGCGUGCUGUGAAAUGUCCGGGCUCAACCCGGGCCUUGCAGCGCGAACUGGCGUGCUUGAGUCCGCGGAAAGCAGGCGGAAUUCGUGGUGUAGCGGUGAAAUGCUGAGAUAUGACGAAGAACCCCGAUUGCGAAGGCAGCUUGCUGGACUGCAACUGACACUGAGGCUCGAAAGUGUGGGUAUCAAACAGGAUUAGAUACCCCAGUAGUC